CGACGGCCGAGGGGAGGUAGUGCCAAGUGACCAGGCGCUCGGGGGAGGGAAACACAGCCGAGGCGAAGGUUGCCGGCUGCCUCAGAUUUGAAGGAGCUCUGAGGGACCCUCGUUUUAAAUUCCUCCGAGCUUCCUUACGCCGAACGCUGGCCUUCUGUGGGAGGUGGGAUGCUGCUGACGUCGGCUUGGCCCGCAGAGCCCGGCGCGCAGCCCACCCCGCGCCUUCAGUGUUUCUGUGGGUCAGGAACUUGGGAGCUAAAUUCUGGUUCAGGGCCUCCCAUAAAGUUGCGUGAAGAUGUCACCUGGGGCUGUGAUCAUCUGAAGGCCUGACUGGUGCUGGAGAAUCCACUCCCUGGGGGACUCACUCACGUGACUGGCAACAGGAGCACUCACAUUGCAUUGUUGAGGGUAGACCGGCUGAGCGUGAGGGGAACCUACCACAGGGAACAGAGGAGGGAGAUGACGAGUAUUGUGUGCACCUUGAGACAAGCUGCAGCAGCAAGGACCAAGCAGAAGACGGAAGAGCAUUUCCUGACACUUAGUAAAUGAACGAAGUCUAACUGAGAGGAUUCAACAUGUCAGAGCUGCAAGAAGAAUGGCAGAGGCCACAUGGUAGCCGAGAGCAACAGAGACAGCACCGGGGGACCCUCAGAGACAGUGAGAGGUUUGGAAGGGGGCCUCGAGCUCCUACGGGUGGGAGCAGCGUUGAAGAAGUCCGUUUGCCUGGGAGUCUGGGGCUGGAUUCAGAAGAUGCAUCAUCACAGUGCCAGCUGAUGCCUUUGCUGUGGCUCCUUCCCCCAGAGGUGGUGUUUGAUAAUAGGGUUUUGUGGCAGGCCAUCCCCUCCAUCCGUUCUUGAUGGUCAGAAGGCAGGAGAGGCUGAGAGGUUGUCACCU
This 894-nucleotide long non-coding RNA is filed under the name Equus asinus (donkey). RNAcentral's name for it is "lncRNA (ENSEASG00005027418.1)". The record is from RNAcentral. Lineage: Eukaryota; Metazoa; Chordata; Mammalia; Perissodactyla; Equidae.